Molecule: long non-coding RNA, 689 nt
Filed under: Mus caroli (Ryukyu mouse)
Lineage: Eukaryota; Metazoa; Chordata; Mammalia; Rodentia; Muridae
Description: lncRNA (MGP_CAROLIEiJ_G0003539.1)
Source: RNAcentral
GAGGAGGAGCGUUGCAAAUGUCGUGACAAGAAGUUUCCGUGCGCCCGAGAGCGUGUGAAUUGCUCCUAAUUACCGUGUCCGGUGCGCCUCUCCGCGUAGACGUGUGUAACCCCUCUACUCCUGGGGCUCCGGCUCCACUGAGCCACUCUCCCUUGGCCCGGGGCGCUUGGCAAGGCCCAGCUUCCCAAGUGGCCCCGGAGGCCUGGGGCGGGACAGGAGCAGGUGACAAUUCAAUUACCGCUGUCGAAGUGGGAGUGGAACCCGGGUGCCCGGGUGGGGGAGGGAGGGCGUUCACCGCAGACUUGCCAAGAUGGUUUUUGCUGGCUUCCUUCUGACCGUGACCGUGUGUUUCCACGUCCGACGGGCUCCGAGGUAGUUGAGAGCCGGUUUGCUCCCUUCCCCCGCCCUCUAUCACCUUUAAUGCUUAGUUCCUUCGUUUGCAAAGUCCUGACACCGUGGGCGUCACGGAGGCGAAAGUAAAAAGCCGCCUUUGCCACUCCCCAGAUCCUCUGGAGGCUGGAGGCACCGGCCAGACGGUCAGACCCAUCAGCCCACAAGACUUCCGCAGGGGGCGAGGGCACUGGACCUGCUUUGACUUGGCCUUCCUCAAUCCGUGCUGACGUCACGGCCCGAGAACCCCUUGGGUCUGCGGAGGAGAGUAAAGAAAAUUCGUUUAAAUGAAAUGCGAA